RNAcentral lists this ribosomal RNA (1300 nucleotides) under Encephalitozoon cuniculi. RNAcentral describes it as "SSU rRNA". It matches the Rfam family "Microsporidia small subunit ribosomal RNA". The record is from RNAcentral. Lineage: Eukaryota; Fungi; Microsporidia; Unikaryonidae.
CACCAGGUUGAUUCUGCCUGACGUGGAUGCUAUUCUCUGGGGCUAAGCCAUGCAUGCUUGUGAACUCUUUGUGGGGGAUUAGCGGACGGCUCAGUGAUAGCACGAUGAUUUGUUUGCGGGAUGAGCAGUAGCUGCGGGAAACUGCAGAUAGUGGUCUGCCCCUGUGGGGGUUGGCAAGUAAGUUGUGGGCCUAUCAGCUGGUAGUUAGGGUAAUGGCCUAACUAGGCGCAGACGGGAUACGGGGGAUCAGGGUUUGGUUCCGGAGAGGGAGCCUGAGAGAUGGCUACUACGUCCAAGGAUGGCAGCAGGCGCGAAACUUGCCUAAUCCUUUGGGGAGGCGGUUAUGAGAAGUGAUGUGUGUGCGAGUGCAAAGGGGUCGCAUGUGAUUGGAGGGCAAGUCGGGUGCCAGCAGCCGCGGUAAUACCUGCUCCAAUAGUGUCUAUGGUGGAUGCUGCAGUUAAAAUGUCCGUAGUCUGUUGUGUAUGUCUUUGUGUGUGAUGUUUGUGGUUGUGUGUGGAUGUAGUGAUGUGUGUGGCAGAGGACGAGGGGCACUGGAUAGUUGGGCGAGAGGUGAAAUGCGAAGACCCUGACUGGACGAGCGGAAGCGAAGGCUGUGCUCUUGGACUAAUGUUGCGAUGAAGGACGAAGGCUAGAGGAUCGAAAUCGAUUAGAUACCGUUUUAGUUCUAGCAGUAAACGAUGCCGACUGGACGGGACUGUGUGUGUUGUCCAUGAGAAAUCUUGAGUAUGCGGGUUCUGGGGAUAGUAUGCUCGCAAGAGUGGAAACUUGAAGAGAUUGACGGAAGGACACCACAAGGAGUGGAGUGUGCGGCUUAAUUUGACUCAACGCGGGGCAACUUACCGGCUCUGAAGGAUGCCUGUGAGUGCAUGGCAUGAGGCAUGCGGCGGUGGUGCAUGGCCGUUUUAAAUGGAUGGCGUGAGCUUUGUCUUAAGUUGCGUAAGAUGUGAGACCCUUUGACGGUGUUCUACGGAGCAAGGAGGGGAUGGAAAAGAACAGGUCCGUUAUGCCCUGAGAUGAGGCGGGCUGCACGCGCACUACGAUAGAUGGCGCUUCUGCCUGCUGUGAGGGAUGAAGCUGUGUAAGGGGCUUCUGAACGUGGAAUUCCUAGUAAUAGCGGCUGACGAAGCUGCUUUGAAUGUGUCCCUGUCCUUUGUACACACCGCCCGUCGCUAUCUAAGAUGACGCACUGGACGAAGAUCGGAAGGUCUGAGUCCUGAGUGUUAGAUAAGAUAUAAGUCGUAACAUGGCUGCUGUUGGAGAACCAUUAGCAGGAUCAUAA